RNAcentral lists this ribosomal RNA (323 nucleotides) under uncultured Methanosaeta sp. RNAcentral describes it as "bacterial SSU rRNA". It matches the Rfam family "Archaeal small subunit ribosomal RNA", at positions 321 to 648 of the family's 1478-position model. Lineage: Archaea; Methanobacteriati; Methanobacteriota; Methanomicrobia; Methanotrichales; Methanotrichaceae. The record is from RNAcentral.
CCCUACGGGGCGCAGCAGGCGCGAAAACUUUACAAUGCGGGAAACCGUGAUAAGGGAACUCCGAGUGUCCGUAAAUGCGGACUGUCCGUAUGUUUAAAAAGCAUGCGAAGAAAGGGCCGGGCAAGACCGGUGCCAGCCGCCGCGGUAACACCGGCGGCUCGGGUGGUAACCGUUAUUAUUGGGUCUAAAGGGUCUGUAGCCGGCCGGAUAAGUCUCUUGGGAAAUCCAGCGGCUCAACUGUUGGGCUUUCAGGAGAUACUGUCUGGCUCGAGGCCGGGAGAGGUGAGAGGUACUUCAGGGGUAGGGGUGAAAUCCUGUAAUCC